UGACAGUGCUAAGUAGUAGUGCCGCAGGUAAUACGUUAUGAUUUACCUGCACUCUGCUGCUUAACACAAGCA
Non-coding RNA from Capitella teleta, 72 nucleotides. NCBI's taxonomy places the organism in Eukaryota, Metazoa, Annelida, Polychaeta, Capitellidae. The record is from Rfam.